RNAcentral lists this ribosomal RNA (492 nucleotides) under uncultured bacterium. Its description in RNAcentral is "partial 16S ribosomal RNA". It matches the Rfam family "Bacterial small subunit ribosomal RNA", at positions 29 to 507 of the family's 1533-position model. The record is from RNAcentral.
AGUGAACGCUGGCGGUAGGCCUAACACAUGCAAGUCGAACGGCAGCACAGUAAGAGCUUGCUCUUACGGGUGGCGAGUGGCGGACGGGUGAGGAAUACAUCGGAAUCUACUUUUUCGUGGGGGAUAACGUAGGGAAACUUACGCUAAUACCGCAUACGACCUACGGGUGAAAGCAGGGGAUCUUCGGACCUUGCGCGAUUGAAUGAGCCGAUGUCGGAUUAGCUAGUUGGCGGGGUAAAGGCCAACCAAGGCGACGAUCCGUAGCGGGUCUGAGAGGAUGAUCAGCCACACUGGAACUGAGACACGGUCCAGACUCCUACGGGAGGCAGCAGUGGGGAAUAUUGGACAAUGGGCGCAAGCCUGAUCCAGCCAUACCGCGUGGGUGAAGAAGGCCUUCGGGUUGUAAAGCCCUUUUGUUGGGAAAGAAAAGCAGCAGGUUAAUACCCCGCUGUUCUGACGGUACCCAAAGAAUAAGCACCGGCUAACUUCGUG